AAACCAACAGGGAUUGCCUCAGUAACGGCGAGUGAAGCGGCAACAGCUCAAAUUUGAAAUCUGGCUCUUUUAGGGUCCGAGUUGUAAUUUGUAGAAGAUGCUUUGGGUGUAGCUCCGGUCUAAGUUCCUUGGAACAGGACGUCAUAGAGGGUGAGAAUCCCGUACGUGACUGGGUGCUUUCGCUCGUGUAAAGCUCUUUCAACGAGUCGAGUUGUUUGGGAAUGCAGCUCAAAAUGGGUGGUAAAUUUCAUCUAAAGCUAAAUAUUGGCCAGAGACCGAUAGCGCACAAGUAGAGUGAUCGAAAGAUGAAAAGCACUUUGGAAAGAGAGUUAAACAGUACGUGAAAUUGUUGAAAGGGAAGCGCUUGCAACCAGACUUGCAUACUGUUGAUCAUCCGAGAUUUUUCCCGGUGCACUCGGCAGUAUUCAGGCCAGCAUCGGUUUUGGUGGGCGGAUAAAGGCCUUGGGAAUGUAGCUUCUUUCGGGGAGUGUUAUAGCCCUCGGUGCAAUGCGCCCUACCGGGACCGAGGACCGCGCUUCGGCUAGGAUGCUGGCGUAAUGGUUGUAAGCGAC
This 572-nucleotide ribosomal RNA is filed under the name Pseudaegerita corticalis. RNAcentral describes it as "eukaryotic LSU rRNA". It matches the Rfam family "Eukaryotic large subunit ribosomal RNA", at positions 62 to 648 of the family's 3401-position model. Lineage: Eukaryota; Fungi; Ascomycota; Leotiomycetes; Helotiales; Hyaloscyphaceae. The record is from RNAcentral.